CCACCAAGCCUCCCUUAUCCCUGCUAGAUCAUAAUGCGCACUGGAGUGUAGGAGGGCUAGCUCCUCCUGCUUGUUCCCCAUGCUCCUGGCAUUAGUAUAUAGAUACC
Gavialis gangeticus (Gharial) is the source of this 107-nucleotide long non-coding RNA. RefSeq lists it as uncharacterized. The transcript has 3 exons. NCBI's taxonomy places the organism in Eukaryota, Metazoa, Chordata, Crocodylia, Gavialidae. The record is from RefSeq and is a predicted model, not a curated record.